AGCUCCAAUAGCGUAUAUUUAAGUUGUUGCAGUUAAAAAGCUCGUAGUUGGAUUUCGGGUGUGGGGCGCCGGUCCGCUUCGGUGUGCACUGGCGGCCCAGGCCUUCUUGUCGGGGAUGCGCUCUGGUAUUGAUUUAUCGGACGCAGAGUCGGCGCAGUUACUUUGAAAAAUUAGAGUGUUCAAAGCAGGCUUUCGCUUGAAUACAUUAGCAUGGAAUAACAUGAUAGGACUCCGAUCCCAUUGUGUUGGUCUUCGGGACUGGAGUAAUGAUUAAGAGGGACAGUUGGGGGCAUUCGUAUUUCAUUGUCAGAGGUGAAAUUCUUGGAUUUAUGAAAGACGAACUUCUGCGAAAGCAUUUGCCAAGGAUGUUUUCAUUAAUCAAGAACGAAAGU
RNAcentral lists this ribosomal RNA (392 nucleotides) under uncultured eukaryote. RNAcentral describes it as "SSU rRNA". It matches the Rfam family "Eukaryotic small subunit ribosomal RNA", at positions 587 to 990 of the family's 1831-position model. The record is from RNAcentral.